AGUGGCGAACUGGUGAGUAACACGUGGGAAACCUGCCCAGAAGCGGGGGAUAACACCUGGUAAACAGAUGCUAAUACCGCAUAACAACUUGGACCGCAUGGUCCGAGCUUGAAAGAUGGCUUCGGCUAUCACUUUUGGAUGGUCCCGCGGCGUAUUAGCUAGAUGGUGGGGUAACGGCUCACCAUGGCAAUGAUACGUAGCCGACCUGAGAGGGUAAUCGGCCACAUUGGGACUGAGGCACGGCCCAAACUCCUACGGGAGGCAGCAGUAGGGAAUCUUCCACAAUGGACGAAAGUCUGAUGGAGCAACGCCGCGUGAGUGAAGAAGGGUUUCGGCUCGUAAAACUCUGUUGUUAAAGAAGAACAUAUCUGAGAGUAACUGUUCAGGUAUUGACGGUAUUUAACCAGAAAGCCACGGCUAACUACGUGCCAGCAGCCGCGGUAAUACGUAGGUGGCAAGCGUUGUCCGGAUUUAUUGGGCGUAAAGCGAGCGCAGGCGGUUUUUUAAGUCUGAUGUGAAAGCCUUCGGCUCAACCGAAGAAGUGCAUCGGAAACUGGGAAACUUGAGUGCAGAAGAGGACAGUGGAACUCCAUGUGUAGCGGUGAAAUGCGUAGAAUAUAUGGAAGAACACCAGUGGCGAAGGCGGCUGUCUGGUCUGUAACUGACGCUGAGGCUCGAAAGUAUGGGUAGCAAACAGGAU
Molecule: ribosomal RNA, 700 nt
Filed under: uncultured bacterium
Lineage: Bacteria
Description: bacterial SSU rRNA
Rfam family: Bacterial small subunit ribosomal RNA
Source: RNAcentral